UUCCGGUUGAUCCCGCCGGACCCUACUGCUAUCGGGGUGGGACUAAUACAUGUUAGUCGAGCGUCUCCGAACUAUGGCAGAGACGCGGCGUACGGCUCAGUAACACGUGGCUAACCUAACCUUGGGACGGAGAAAACCCCGGGAAACUGGGGCUAAUACCCGAUGGGUGAGGAUGCCUGGAAUGGUUCCUCACUGAAAAGGCGUCUCGACCAUGCUUCCUGGCGUCGCCCAAGGAUGGGGCCGCGGCCGAUCAGGUUGUUGGCGAGGUAAAGGCUCACCAAGCCUAUAACCGGUACGGGCCGUGAGAGCGGGAGCCCGGAGAUGGGCACUGAGACAAGGGCCCAGACCCUACGGGGCGCAGCAGUUGCGAAAACUCUGCAAUGCGCGAAAGCGUGACAGGGCUACCCCGAGUGCCGUCCGCUGAGGAUGGCUUUUCCCGAGUGUAAUGAGCUAGGGGAAUAAGGAGAGGGCAAGACUGGUGUCAGCCGCCGCGGUAAUACCAGCUCUCCGAGUGGUAGGGAUGAUUAUUGGGCUUAAAGCGUCCGUAGCCGGCCUAGCAAGUCUCUCGUUAAAUCCAGCGACCUAAUCGUUGGACUGCGGGAGAUACUGUUAGGCUAGGGGACGGGAGAGGCCGACGGUAUUCUCGGGGUAGGGGUGAAAUCCUAUAAUCCCGGGAGGACCACCAGUGGCGAGGGCUGUCGGCUAGAACGCGCUCGACGGUGAGGGACGAAAGCUGGGGGAGCGAACCGGAUUAGAUACCCGGGUAGUCCCAGCUGUAAACGAUGCGGGCUAGUGUUGGGGUGGUUACGAACCACUUCAGUGCCGCAACGAAAGGCAUUAAGCCCGCCGCCUGGGGAGUACGGCCGCAAGGCUGAAACUUAAAGGAAUUGGCGGGGGAGCACACCAGGCGUGAAGCUUGCGGUUAA
This 926-nucleotide ribosomal RNA is filed under the name uncultured archaeon. Its description in RNAcentral is "bacterial SSU rRNA". It matches the Rfam family "Archaeal small subunit ribosomal RNA", at positions 1 to 904 of the family's 1478-position model. The record is from RNAcentral.